GAACUGAUUAGAAGCUUGCUUCUAUGACGUUAGCGGCGGACGGGUGAGUAACACGUGGGCAACCUGCCUGUAAGACUGGGAUAACUCCGGGAAACCGGAGCUAAUACCGGAUAACAUUUUUCUUGCAUAAAAAAAUUGAAAGAUGGUUUCGGCUAUCACUUACAGAUGGGCCCGCGGUGCAUUAGCUAGUUGGUGAGGUAACGGCUCACCAAGGCAACGAUGCAUAGCCACCUGAGAGGGUGAUCGGCCACACUGGGACUGAGACACGGCCCAACUCCUACGGGAGGCAGCAGUAGGGAAUCUUCCGCAAUGGACAAAGUCUGACGGAGCAACGCCGCGUGAGUGAUGAAGGCUUUCGGGUCGUAAAACUCUGUUGUUAGGGAAGAACAAGUACAAGAGUAACUGCUUGUACCUUGACGGUACCUAACCAGAAAGCCACGGCUAACUACGUGCCAGCAGCCGCGGUAAUA
Molecule: ribosomal RNA, 470 nt
Filed under: Priestia flexa
Lineage: Bacteria; Bacillati; Bacillota; Bacilli; Caryophanales; Bacillaceae
Description: bacterial SSU rRNA
Rfam family: Bacterial small subunit ribosomal RNA
Source: RNAcentral